RNAcentral lists this ribosomal RNA (497 nucleotides) under uncultured bacterium. RNAcentral describes it as "partial 16S ribosomal RNA". It matches the Rfam family "Bacterial small subunit ribosomal RNA", at positions 28 to 507 of the family's 1533-position model. The record is from RNAcentral.
GAUGAACGCUGGCGGUGUGCCUAAUACAUGCAAGUCGAGCGAACAGAUAAGGAGCUUGCUCUUUUGACGUUAGCGGCGGACGGGCGAGUAACACGUGGAUAACCUACCUAUAAGACUGGGAUAAUUUCGGGAAACCGGUGACAAUACUGGAUAAUAUAUCGUACCGCAUGGUUCAAUAGUGAUAGGCGGCUUUGCUGUUACUUAUAGAUGGAUCCGCGCCGGAUUAGCUAGUUGGUAAGGUAACGGCUUACCAAGGCAACGAUACGUAGCCGACCUGAGAGGGUGAUCAGCCACACUGGAACUGAGACACGGUCCAGACUCCUACGGGAGGCAGCAGUGGGGAAUCUUCCGCAAUGGGCGAAAGCCUGACGGAGCAACACCGCGUGAGUGAAGAAGGUCUUCGGGUCGUAAAGCUCUGUUAUCGGGAAAGAACAGAAGUGUAAGUAUCUGUGCACAUCUUGACGGUACCUAAUCAAAAAGCCACGGCUAACUACGUG